UCGGGGGAAGAAUCACGAAGCAAAGCCAUAAACAUUGAAGGGUCUCCAUUCUGUGAAAAACACUUUAGUAAUGAUAAAACUAUAAUCAGUUCAUACCAGUAAGAUCCCAUUCACUGCCGUUAUAAAAUCGUAAUAAGACUCAAUUCUGGCAUUAUAGGCUUUCGAAUCGUUUUCAACCUUUAAUACUCUGAAACCACAUGAUUCAUCUGAUUCUCGAUGAAUACCAGCUAAAGCUUCUGAUUUUUCUUUAAUAAAGUUCUUUAAACCACCAAACAUUUCGAUUGUUUAGUACUUAAAUAGGGUUGGUGGUGAUUUAGGUAAUGGCGCGGUUGACUCGCUAUGAUAUUAAGUUCAUACAGUCGGAAAUUUAUGUGAGUAAAAUGAUGCUGAUAUUAAUAAAUUAAAACAAAAAAAGGAAAAAGAAAAAUUAAUAAAGCUGUUGGAAGCAAUC
Non-coding RNA from Schizosaccharomyces pombe (fission yeast), 451 nucleotides. Lineage: Eukaryota; Fungi; Ascomycota; Schizosaccharomycetes; Schizosaccharomycetales; Schizosaccharomycetaceae. The record is from the annotation of a GenBank genome assembly.